GACGAACGCUGGCGGCGUGCUUAACACAUGCAAGUCGAACGGGAAGGCCUGCUUUCCCUUGUGGAUUGCGGGUACUCGAGUGGCGAACGGGUGAGUAACACGUGAGUGAUCUGCCCCCAACUUGGGUAUAAGCCUGGGAAACUGGGUCUAAUUCCCGAUAGGACUGCAGGGUGGUGCCUGUGGUGGAAAACGAUUUUCUAGUGGUUGGGGAUGAGCUCGCGGCCUAUCAGCUUGUUGGUGGGGUAAUGGCCUACCAAGGCGGCGACGGGUAGCCGGCCUGAGAGGGUGGACAGCCACAUUGGGACUGAGAUACGGCCCAGACUCCUACGGGAGGCAGCAGUGGGGAAUAUUGCACAAUGGGCGGAAGCCUGAUGCAGCGACGCCGCGUGGGGGAUGACGGCCUUCGGGUUGUAAACUCCUUUCGACCGCGAGGAAGCCACCUGGUUGGAAGGGUGGUGACGGUAGUGGUAGAAGAAGCACCGGCUAACUACGUG
This 494-nucleotide ribosomal RNA is filed under the name uncultured bacterium. RNAcentral describes it as "partial 16S ribosomal RNA". It matches the Rfam family "Bacterial small subunit ribosomal RNA", at positions 28 to 507 of the family's 1533-position model. The record is from RNAcentral.